This 3494-nucleotide long non-coding RNA is filed under the name Manihot esculenta (cassava). RNAcentral describes it as "long non-coding RNA (MESC_LNC003808)". Lineage: Eukaryota; Viridiplantae; Streptophyta; Magnoliopsida; Malpighiales; Euphorbiaceae. The record is from RNAcentral.
AUCUUUGCCCUGAGUUAAUGGAGGUUCGUCUUUACUCGCUGCCACAAUCAUAUGGUAUCCACCUUUCCAACUGCUGCUGCUGCUACUAUUGCUGCUAUUGCUUCCUUCAUCAAUGGACACUGCACCAUCUUUAAUCAAACCAGGAAGCCAUUUUGCUGCAUACUGCAUUAUUGAAGCUCCAAUCAAUUCAAACCUCAUACCCUUUACCUUGAUUGCUGUAAUGACCCGAACAAAGUGAUCAAUCCUUAGGAUUGAAACAUCUUCAAACCACCAAUCAGGAGGAACUGUCUGAUUUCUACUAGGACUUGAAUCCUUCAUAUCAUUCCAUCUUGGACUAGAAACUUUAGGGGGUUUUCCAGUAUAUGCCCACCUUAUCCCUUUCGGAUUGGCACAAGCUUUCCAAGCAAUGGAUUCGCUGCAUCUUCGAACAAUCUGCAGGUUCUCUGCCCAUGGUGUGAGCUUCUCACAGCUUUUAAGUACUAAUAUAGAAUCCCUCCAUGAUGAUAACACCACAUAGCUAAGAAAAGCUUCAGUUUUGAAUAUAAGAUUACCUUCUUCUAAAUCUUCUGUCAUUUCCAGGUACUCAGCAGCACAUCUAAGUCCAGAGAUAUUGCCUGCUGUUAGAUCAACAGCAAUUCCAUAGCAGAACUUUGCUGCAAGCUCAAAUGCCUCAGGUCCACCAGGAAGAUCAUUUAAUUCUAUCUUAUUCAAUCCUGGGUCGCGUGAUUCAUAAAUUACUCUAUUGAUCUUUCCACUCCGAGAAAGCAAAGGAUACUUUUGCAAGAACAUAAACAGUGAAAACAGGUAAGUCAGUAUAAUUCAAGAACUAUUCUUUCUGUUAUUGAAUUUUGAAUUUGGACUUGAGAGAAGUGAAUUCAAGCAUUCAAAGGAGAAAAAUGGAUACCUUAUGCAAGUGGAAAUUUGCAUCUCCUAUCUGAACUAAAAGAUCACUAGGAAUAUCAGUUGCCACAUACCUGAAAAAGAAGGAUUAGAAGAUAAACUAUUAGCAGAAAGAAAACCCAAAUACAAUUUUUUUUUCCAAAAAAAAAAAAAAAAAAACCCAAAAGGUUGAAAAAGCAUAAGAACUUCUUGAGAGCAGAUAUAGCACACACACCAUGACUGGCCUCUGAGCUCAAACCCAUCGGUCUUGACAGCAUGCUUGGUUGAGCUAAGAAUUCCAUUACCGUAAUCUCGUCCACCAAAGGAUUCACUCUCCGAAUCCCACAUGAUAAUAACUAAAAUCAAACAGAAGGGGUGCAGAACUUUGUCAGAAAAAGUGCCUGGAAAUUGGAGUUAGAGCAGAGAAAAUGAGUAGGAGAAGAGGGGGCAAAAGAAUCAACACAAAGUUGGGCUAAAAAAAGGGAAAGAAUCCCACAUGGGUUGCUUGGAAUUAUCUGAAACUGUCGGCUUCUUGUGGAUUUUUAAGGACUCUUCACAUUACAGGCUGUGAAGUAAUGGGCUAAAAAAUGGAUGAUUUUUGAGUUUGUAUGAAUUUCAAUUCUUCUAUCUUUGGCUGUCUGCAGAAAUGACUGAGAUAUUCAGAGCUACUACUCUUUCAUCAUGUCUUCCUUUUUGCUUUUUCUUUUCUUUCCUUUUUCUUUCUUUUUCUUAAUUACAAUCCAAAAGAAAUAUUCCUAUGUGGACGAGAGAGAGAGAAUGAGAAGUGAAUUCAAUGUAGCAGAGGAGUUGUUUCUGAAUUCUGAUAAAUUUCACAAAGACUGGAAUUACGAAAAUGCCACUGAUUGUUGGAGGGGAUGGACCAUUUGAUUAAAGCUUUUCCCAUGAAAAUACCUUAGCUAUGUUUCUGCCUCUCAUUUGUGUUUUAUCCCUUUCAGGUUGGUAUGCUAGGAAAAGAAAAAGAUUAAUUAAUAUAAGGAAAAUAUUAAUUUUUCAUAUAAUUAAUAUUUAAAUUUAUAUAUUUUGAAAAAAAAAAAAACAAGGUUUCUACAUUGUCUUCCUAUUUUUUAAAAAAAAAAAUUAUUUCAUUUAUUUUAAACAAAGUAUAAUAAUAAAGUAAAUAUUGACAUUUUUUUUUCAUCAAUAACAUUAAUUAUUUAUAGAGAAAAUAUUAAAAAUAGAAUAAAGAUUUUAUCCAAGUUGGCAGUCAUUGUUCAACUCUUCAUUGUUUAAGGUUUUUGUAUGAAUUCAAAUAGAUGGUAAAUGUAUUUGAGUAAAUCUGAAAGGUCUCAAUUUCAACUCCACCCCAAUUUCCAAUCUCCAUUAAAAAAAAAAGAUUUUUCUUCGCAAGGUAUAAAAGUAGAUGGAAUUUUUAGUUCGAAUUUUUUCAACUACUGAUAUAUUCAUUCUUUGUAAGAAGAGAUUAAUUUUUGGGUAAUCUAAAUUCAUCUCUCAAGCACUCUACAUAUAACUUAGAAAACUCUUCCAAACUAUUAGGAUUUCGUUUUAAUGAGUUGAUCAUUGGAGUAGACACAGACCAUAUAAUCUAACAUCAUUAUACAGGUUAUAGUAUAAUUAAGGACGUAAAGAAAUCAAAUUAUUUGUGAACUAUUCGAUAUUUGACUCGAUAAAAUAUUGAUCGGACUCGACUUAAUUUUUAAACGAGUUAAAUUCGAAUUUAAUUUGUAAACUCAUUUAAUAAAUGAGCUAAACUUGAACUCUAUAGUAUUCAAUUUGUGAGCUUGACUCGAUUCUGAGUUCAUGAGUAAAUUCGCGAAUAAAUUCGUAAACGGUCUCGUUAAGCAGACUAAUAUUAAUAUUAUAAGAAAACAAACUAUGUAUAUUCUUUCAUAAAUCAAAUUUAAAUUUUUUAAAAUUCACCUCUAUAUAGUUUAAUUACACUUUUAAAGAGUUUGUUAUUUAUAAGUUUAUAAAUUAAUUUUUAUAUAUAUUUAUUUAAUUAAAAUUAUUUAAUUUUAAACUAAAAUUUAUUAUACAGGUAAAUAAAUUAAACUAAAUUUAUUCAUAAAUUAUUCGAUAUUAAAUUCGAUAAGCCAAAUUUAAAUUUAUUAAUACUCUGUUGGAAUUGGAAAUGAAAUAAAAAAAUUUUUAAUAAAUCAAAAUUGAAAACUCAUGAAUUUUAGAUAUUUUGUACAUAAGAUAGUGUAAUUUUAAAAUUAAUUAAUAUCAAUGAAGAAAAAUAAAGAAAUUGAUUAAAAAUGGAUAAUGACUAACAAAAAUCUUCAUAAAUAUGGAUAAGAUGAAUAUCAUAUCUUUAUUCACUAAAUGGUAUAAACAUGUUUGACCAUUUGAUUUUGUCUAUUUGUAGGGCCAAACACAUUAUUGCAACAAUUACUACAACAAUUUGACAACCUUAAUUUCACUACUUUUUUUUAGUGGUAAAUUGGACAGUCUCAUUUGUCAAUUUAUGGAUUCCAUAAAAUUUACUACCAACUUCCCUUAUUCUAAUGAUAUAUUGGACUUUGUGGCAUAACAUAAAUAAUAUUGUUUGGAAAACUCAGGGUCGAACUGUGAGUAGUGUGUUCUUCACGACACUGAAUUUUUUACAGCAAUGAAGGGGGGCCUGUUCUGAUUCU